AAUCAGUGGUAUCAAAGCAGAUUCAGCGGGUCAAGAACAUGAAGACCUGGACCAGACAUGAUCCACACCUACUGGCUAAAGAAACUAACAGCAGCGCAUGAACGCCUAGCAGCACAGAUGAACCAGCUGCUGGCAGC
Molecule: long non-coding RNA, 137 nt
Organism: Gopherus evgoodei (Goodes thornscrub tortoise)
Lineage: Eukaryota; Metazoa; Chordata; Testudines; Testudinidae
Exons: 3
Source: RefSeq, a predicted model, not a curated record